This is a long non-coding RNA of Perca flavescens (yellow perch), 548 nucleotides long. RefSeq lists it as uncharacterized. The transcript has 3 exons. Lineage: Eukaryota; Metazoa; Chordata; Actinopteri; Perciformes; Percidae. The record is from RefSeq and is a predicted model, not a curated record.
CAGAAAAAUCGCGUCCAGAUAGAGCGAAUUUGAUUGUGGUUGGAUGAGAAGUAUAAACAUAUACCAUUCCGACACCCUAUUGGUUUGUACGCGAUCCAUCGCACCUGCACAUAACACAAAUCACGUCACUCUCCAGCACAGCAGACGUAUGUAGCCUAGUACGAAGAUGUCCGUGGCAGAGACUCAAGAGAACUCGAGCGAAAUGUCCCAACCAAGCACCAGCGAGGAGACAUGCAUCAGUGUGUCCUCUACCUGUGUACUCUCCCAGGAUCAGCCUGGACAUGAUGACAGUGAAGAUGGGUGCUGAGCUCUUCACGGUCUCUGCAAAAGACACUGCCACAUUCUUCAGGCUCACCAAGCCCAGAACCACUGUGCUGAACCUGGAGACAAAGGCAACAGGGCACAAACAUUUUUAUGAAGCCGAUGACGGUGGUGGAGAGCAUCUGAACUGCACCUGGGCAGCAUAUGGAAGACAACAAGUUAGAGCUACAGCCACACCUAAUUAACACCUGCAGCAUGAAUGUCAAAUAAACUUCUUCAACUCCUUG